RNAcentral lists this ribosomal RNA (775 nucleotides) under uncultured Neocallimastigales. Its description in RNAcentral is "partial large subunit ribosomal RNA". It matches the Rfam family "Eukaryotic large subunit ribosomal RNA", at positions 19 to 649 of the family's 3401-position model. The record is from RNAcentral. Lineage: Eukaryota; Fungi; Neocallimastigomycota; Neocallimastigomycetes; Neocallimastigales.
CGAGCACGCGCGUGUGGCAUAUCAAUAAGCGGAGGAAAAGAAACUAACAAGGAUUCCCUUAGUAACGGCGAGUGAAGCGGGAAGAGCUCAAAUUUGAAAUCUUCAAGGUUCUACCUUGACGAAUUGUAGUUUAGUAGAAGUGUUUUCUGUUAGUGGAGUGGCAAAAGUUCUUUGGAAUAGGACAUCAUAGAGGGUGAGAAUCCCGUAUUUGGUCAUUCCUCCUAGCGUUGUGAUACACUUUCAACGAGUCGGAUUGUUUGGGAAUGCAGUCCAAAAUGGGUGGUAAAUUUCAUCUAAAGCUAAAUAUUGGCGAGAGACCGAUAGCGAACAAGUACCGUGAGGGAAAGAUGAAAAGAACUUUGAAAAGAGAGUUAAACAGUACGUGAAAUUGUCAAAAGGGAAGCGUUUGACACCAGUGUUGUUUUUCCGAAAAUCAAUUACGAAUGUUUUGUUUUUGAGGAGUUAUGACUUCAUCGGCUUGCUCCUUUCUUUAUGAAACUUUCUUAAUGCACUUUUCGGUUAACAAGUCAACAUCAAUUUCUUUUGUUGUAAAAGGGUAUGAGGAAGGUGGCUUUCUUUUCGGAGAAAGUGUUUAUAGCCUUGUGCCUCUGCAAUCGGAGAGAUUGAGGUCUGCAGCGUAGAUCCUUCGGGGUUAGAUACGUUUGUGCUAAGUUAUAGCUUUUCAUAGACAACUUGUUGACUAUGUUUAGUCUUGUAGCUUACUCGCUGACGCUAUUUUACCUACGCUUAGGAUGUUGAGUAGCGACAUACGCAC